UGGUCUUGACAUCCACAGAACUUUCCAGAGAUGGAUUGGUGCCUUCGGGAACUGUGAGACAGGUGCUGCAUGGCUGUCGUCAGCUCGUGUUGUGAAAUGUUGGGUUAAGUCCCGCAACGAGCGCAACCCUUAUCCUUUGUUGCCAGCGGUCCGGCCGGGAACUCAAAGGAGACUGCCAGUGAUAAACUGGAGGAAGGUGGGGAUGACGUCAAGUCAUCAUGGCCCUUACGACCAGGG
This 237-nucleotide ribosomal RNA is filed under the name uncultured bacterium. RNAcentral's name for it is "partial 16S ribosomal RNA". It matches the Rfam family "Bacterial small subunit ribosomal RNA", at positions 976 to 1213 of the family's 1533-position model. The record is from RNAcentral.